This 466-nucleotide ribosomal RNA is filed under the name uncultured ammonia-oxidizing beta proteobacterium. RNAcentral describes it as "bacterial SSU rRNA". It matches the Rfam family "Bacterial small subunit ribosomal RNA", at positions 197 to 644 of the family's 1533-position model. The record is from RNAcentral. Lineage: Bacteria; Pseudomonadati; Pseudomonadota; Betaproteobacteria.
UGGAGGAAAGUAGGGGAUCGCAAGACCUUGCGUUAUUCGAGCGGCCGACGUCUGAUUAGCUAGUUGGUGGGGUAAAGGCCUACCAAGGCGACGAUCAGUAGCGGGUCUGAGAGGAUGAUCCGCCACACUGGGACUGAGACACGGCCCAGACUCCUACGGGAGGCAGCAGUGGGGAAUUUUGGACAAUGGGGGAAACCCUGAUCCAGCCAUACCGCGUGAGUGAAGAAGGCCUUCGGGUUGUAAAGCUCUUUCAGCUGGAACGAAACGGUACGUUCUAACAUAGCGUGCUAAUGACGGUACCAGCAGAAGAAGCACCGGCUAACUACGUGCCAGCAGCCGCGGUAAUACGUAGGGUGCGAGCGUUAAUCGGAAUUACUGGGCGUAAAGCGUGCGCAGGCGGAUUGUUAAGCAAGAUGUGAAAUCCCCGGGCUUAACCUGGGAAUUGCGUUUGAAACUACAAGGCUAG